This is a non-coding RNA of Durio zibethinus, 1163 nucleotides long. NCBI's taxonomy places the organism in Eukaryota, Viridiplantae, Streptophyta, Magnoliopsida, Malvales, Malvaceae. The record is from RefSeq and is a predicted model, not a curated record.
UUUGAUUUGCAAUUAAGAUAGAUGAAUUUUUAGAAGCUCAAUCUCCUUUUUAUUUUGGAUAACUAUCUAAAUCGGGAUUCAACUAUUAUAUAUUCCUAAGUUGUUGCAACAAUUAAGGGGGAAAGCAAUUGCACAGAGAGAAUUCACACAAAAGAGAGUGAAAAUAGAAAAAAAAAAGAUGGGUGAGAGUUUGGCCAGAAGAGGGUACUAAUUUGGAGUAUUUUUUAUUUGUUUUUCCGGGUUUGAAAGGUUUUAAGUGUGAUUUUGAGGACAAAUUGUAGAUAAUAGUGUUUGUGAGAUCAAAUCUGUCGAGGGGAGGAUUUGCUAAAUUUUUUUUUUAAAAAUCCAGAAAUUCUCCAAAUUCCAUUGAGUUUUUCAGUAAGUCUUUGGUAUUUUCGACAAAAUUUCAACGACAUUUUAAAGUUGUCGAUGAGAUUUUUCAAAAUCUAGUGCUAUAGUUCAUCGUUUCUGAGUUUGGGAAGAUUGAGGUUAGAGAAAAAUUAGCUCAGAGAGAGAAGGGAAAUAAAUGGUAAGGCAAAAACUUGGCUUUUAUAGAAGCCGAAACACACUCUUUUAUUAAAAGAGAAUCCAUGUGCUUCCGUUAGCCCAAUCCGACUAGAGUGCUCGCAACUCCCGACUCGUUUUAGCAUCCAGCAGUUCGAGCUGGGUUGAGCCACCGAGCCACACCACUUACUAAGCCGAACUGCUUCGGGAAGCAUUUAAGAGUACUAUCUCCAGUAGUCAGCAUCAAAACGCGUUCAUUAAAGCUGGUCCAGCCGAAUCGAGCCAAGUUGAAGCCAUUAAACUACUCCAAACAGGCCUCAAGUAGCGAUACCAUGUGCAAUAAUUAUAUGCCACCGAUUUUAUAUCUACCAGUCUCAUACAAAGAAUGAUUGGUAGGUAGAUGUUUUGUUACUCUAUUUUAAUGCUUAAUUGCAUCUUUCCACUACCAGAAAAAUGAUUUUUACUGAUAGAAUUUUUCAUUAGUAAAAGUCAAUAUUUUGUCGAUAAUACUUUUACCAAAUGAAUUAUCAAUGGAAAAUUUUGAUUAGUAGUAAGUAAGUUGAUAAUGCUAUUUCAUCAGUGAAAAUCAAAUUCUGUUGGUAAUUACCAAUGAAAUUUUUUCGUCUGUAAAAAUUUUAUAAGUAAAUUUCACAAGUAAU